RNAcentral lists this small RNA (1022 nucleotides) under Pan troglodytes (chimpanzee). Its description in RNAcentral is "retained intron". Lineage: Eukaryota; Metazoa; Chordata; Mammalia; Primates; Hominidae. The record is from RNAcentral.
CAGGCCCCGGCCUUCCUGGCGUGCCCCUAAAUUGUGAAGGUCUUUCUUGGAUCUUUAAGGAGUUGGAAGGGGUCUCCUCUGAGGGGCAGUCCCAUCUUGAUUGGUGGUGGCCCCAGGAGCCUCCCCAGCGGGCUCUGGUGUGGAUGCAGGUGUUAUGCGGGAGACGGUCUUCCCCUGCAGGGCUGAGGCACAUGUCUGGGUCUGAGCUGACCGAGCUGCUGGACCAGGUGGAGGGUGCCAUCCGCGACUUCUCGGAGGAGCUGGUGCAGCAGCUGGCCCGCAGGGACGAGCUGGAGUUUGAGAAGGAAGUGAAGAACUCCUUUAUCACGGUGCUUAUUGAGGUUCAGAACAAGCAGAAGGAGCAGCGAGAACUGAUGAAAAAGAGGCGGAAAGAGAAAGGGCUGAGCCUGCAGAGCAGCCGGAUAGAGAAGGGAAACCAGAUGCCUCUCAAGCGCUUCAGCAUGGAAGGCAUCUCCAACAUUCUGCAGAGUGGCAUCCGCCAGACCUUUGGCUCCUCAGGAACUGACAAACAGUAUCUGAACACAGUCAUUCCUUACGAGAAGAAAGCCUCUCCUCCCUCAGUGGAAGACCUGCAGAUGCUGACAAACAUUCUCUUUGCCAUGAAGGAGGAUAAUGAGAAGGUGCCUACUUUGCUAACGGACUACAUUUUAAAAGUGCUCUGCCCUACCUAACCUUGCCCUUUGGAGCAGCCUCGCUGCAGGAGGUCACUGAGCAAGAGUCAUUCCAUCACAGGGACUGCAUGAGACCAUGUAACCUCCGACAUGUAUUUAAACGUGUAUAGCUUAACCCGGAUUAAACACGAGCAAGCGCGCGGGGUCCUUUGCCGUUGGCUUCUAGUGCUAGUAAUCAUUGGAUGCAUGAUGGGGCAGGGCCGGUGAUGGUGCCUCCCCCUUGCUGGUGUCAGGAGAGGGGAAGGCAGCCGCUUUCACCGCUCAUUAUGUAGUCUGGCUCCAGCCCUCAAAAACAGCUUAUACUCUUAAGACUAAUUUUGAAAUAAAACC